Molecule: long non-coding RNA, 1600 nt
Organism: Sarcophilus harrisii (Tasmanian devil)
Lineage: Eukaryota; Metazoa; Chordata; Mammalia; Dasyuromorphia; Dasyuridae
Source: Ensembl
ACCACGUGGUCUCGUCUUGGCGUUUCCAGGCAACCGGUCCCAGUGUGACCAUUACGUGGACUUCCUCCUGCCCAAAUGCAAAGGCGCUACCAUAAUUCCCACGUGCCUCCAGUUCCUCCACCAAGUCUUCCGGAUUCACACUGAAUAAGUUCUAGCCUGGAGACUGGGUCCUGGUUCGGACGUGGAAGGAGGCCAAGCUGACCCUGAGCUGAGAAGGACCGUUCCAGAUCCUGUUGACUUCAGACACGGCGAUACGCACCAAAGAAGGAGGUUGGACACAUCACACUCGAGUCAAAGGUCCCGUGGAUGCACCAAAGAAGUGGGCAGUAGACACUGAUCCAGGAACAUUGAAAGUGCGACUGAUAUUACAGGAAACUCAGCAAAGACUGAUGAAUUGUGCAUGUAAAAUCUUUUUGACUUGUCUCAUUUGGGGAACUCUCUUGGGACUUUUCUUGUUUGUAUUAGAUAUUACAUUUUGCUGAAGAACUGUAUUGUUAGGAAUUAGGGAUAUUAUAUACCAUUAGGAAGAAUGGGGGUGUGAACCAAACCCAAGGGGUUGGAGACUGUGUCUUGUCUAUGCAUGUAUGAUUUUAUGCAGGUACACCUUUUGUACUGGUACCUCGAGAGCAGUGGGGUAUGAAAAUACCUUUCAAACCCUGAUCCAAACAAUAGCCACUAGCUUUAAAUUGACUGACUACUGGACAUGUGGGGGACCCGAACAACUCACACGAUGGCCCUGAGUACCUGUCCCUUUAUUUCCAGCCUGGAUAUUGAGUAAUAGAUCAGUUGUACAUGAUGGUACCGGAUUUUGGUCAGAUCAGGAGGAACAUCAGUGGAAAGUAACUAAUGCUGUCCCAGGAGGACAUGGUUUAAAUCAAACAGGCACAGGGCCUUGGAUGGGAGAAAGUGAAUGCGAAUGGACUUUUACCCACCGGCCAGAGAAGGUAGAUAUUAUAGAUUGUAGUCAAUAUAAAAAUAGAUAGAAUAAAACAAGUGUUGUUUGUGACGAUGGGUCAGUGAUUAAAUGGACUCAUCCACAUGCAGUAGAGGGUAGUGAAGAAUGCUUGAGGGAAUUGAAAAAGAAGCCAACUUGUCAAACACCCCGAGAUUUAUGGAGAUGUUUAAGGUUAAAUAGUACAAAGUCAGGUACUGCUAGUACUGUAAUGAGAUGGAAAUGGGAAAAUAGUAAUGGAACUGUUAGGAAAAUGUUUGGUAACUUUUGGAGCAAUAUAGAUUUUACUGGGGAGAAUAACUGUAGUUGCACUUGGAUGCCUGAAAAGCAACUUUGGAAGCGUAAUUCAAAAACCAUGAAAGGGGGACCGUUAGGACCAAGGGAUGUUAUAUAUUUCCCACCCUCAACAGGAGUUUUUAUCUUCUGGCAUGAGAAAAACCCAGCUUUAAGGGGACACUAUUGGAUUUGUGGCCAGAUGGCAUAUACUCACUUCCCAAGAAAUUGGACUGGGAAUUGUUAUGCAAGUACAAUAAGGCCCAAGUUUUUCUUCCUUCCAGAAAAUAGUGACAAACAGGAAUAUGACUAGUAUAGAUACUUCUCUGAUUCAAACAGGUGAUGCUAAUGGAUGGGGAAAUACAUGACUCCUAG